ACGGGAGGCAGCAGUGGGGAAUAUUGGGCAAUGGGCGCAAGCCUGACCCAGCAAUGCCGCGUGAAGGAAGAAGGCUUUCGGGUUGUAAACUUCUUUUAAGUGGGACGAUAAUGACGGUACCACUUGAAUAAGCUCCGGCUAACUACGUGCCAGCAGCCGCGGUAAUACGUAGGGAGCAAGCGUUGUCCGGAUUUACUGGGUGUAAAGGGCGUGUAGGCGGGACAGCAAGUCAGAUGUGAAAGCACGGGGCUCAACUUCGUGUCUGCAUUUGAAACUGCUGUUCUUGAGUGCUGGAGAGGCUAACGGAACUCCUAGUGUAGCGGUGAAAUGCGUAGAUAUUAGGAGGAACACCAGUGGCGAAGGCGGCUUACUGGACGAUAACUGACGUUGAGGCUCGAAAGCGUGGGGAGCAAACAGGAUUAGAUACCCUGGUA
This is a ribosomal RNA of 434 nucleotides. It matches the Rfam family "Bacterial small subunit ribosomal RNA", at positions 341 to 792 of the family's 1533-position model.